Molecule: transfer RNA, 68 nt
Filed under: Elymnias hypermnestra (common palmfly)
Lineage: Eukaryota; Metazoa; Arthropoda; Insecta; Lepidoptera; Nymphalidae
Description: tRNA-Leu
Source: RNAcentral
ACUAUUUUGGCAGAAAAAAUGUCAUGGUUUUAGAAGUCAUUAAUAUAUAAUAAAUUAUAUAAAUAGUA